GAUGAACGCUAGCUACAGGCUUAACACAUGCAAGUCGAGGGGUAACGAGAGGAAAGCUUGCUUUCCUUGUCGACGACCGGCGCACGGGUGAGUAACGCGUAUCCAACCUGCCCCCAACUAGGGAAUAACCCUGCGAAAGUAAGACUAAUACCCUAUAAUUUCCUCAGAUGUCAUCUGACGAGGAAUAAAGAUUUAUCGGUUGUGGAUGGGGAUGCGUCUGAUUAGCUUGUUGGCGGGGUAACGGCCCACCAAGGCAACGAUCAGUAGGGGUUCGGAGAGGAAGGUCACCCACAGUGGAAGUGAGACACGGUCGAAACUCCUACGGGGGGCACCAGUGAGGAAUAUUGGUCAAUGGGCGGAAGCCUGAACCAGCCAAGUAGCGUGCAGGAUGACGGCCCUAUGGGUUGUAAACUGCUUUUAUACAGGAAUAAAGUUAGCCACGUGUGGUUAUUUGUAGGUACUGUAUGAAUAAGGACCGGCUAAUUCCGUGCCAGCCGCCGCGGUAA
This 506-nucleotide ribosomal RNA is filed under the name uncultured bacterium. RNAcentral's name for it is "partial 16S ribosomal RNA". It matches the Rfam family "Bacterial small subunit ribosomal RNA", at positions 28 to 523 of the family's 1533-position model. The record is from RNAcentral.